AAUAUUGCGCAAUGGAGGGAACUCUGACGCAGCGACGCCGCGUGAGCGAUGAAGGUUUUCGGAUCGUAAAGCUCUGUCCUUGGGGAAGAAGGUCUUCGGACUUGACGGUACCUAAGGAGGAAGCCCCGGCUAACUACGUGCCAGCAGCCGCGGUAAUACGUAGGGGGCAAGCGUUGUCCGGAAUUAUUGGGCGUAAAGGGUACGCAGGCGGUCAUGUAAGUCAGAUGUGAAAUCCUAAGGCUUAACCUUAGUAAGCAUUUGAAACUGCGUGGCUUGAGUUAAGGAGAGGAAAGUGGAAUUCCUGGUGUAGCGGUGAAAUGCGUAGAUAUCAGGAGGAAUAUCAGUGGCGAAGGCGACUUUCUGGCCUUAAACUGACGCUGAGGUACGAAAGCGUGGGGAGCAAACA
This 406-nucleotide ribosomal RNA is filed under the name uncultured bacterium. Its description in RNAcentral is "partial 16S ribosomal RNA". It matches the Rfam family "Bacterial small subunit ribosomal RNA", at positions 360 to 774 of the family's 1533-position model. The record is from RNAcentral.